AACGAACGCUGGCAGCAGGCCUAACACAUGCAAGUCGAGCGCGCCCUUCGGGGUGAGCGGCGGACGGGUGAGUAACGCGUGGGAACGUGCCCUUUUCUACGGAAUAGCCUCGGGAAACUGAGAGUAAUACCGUAUACGCUCUUCGGGGGAAAGAUUUAUCGGAAAAGGAUCGGCCCGCGUUGGAUUAGGUAGUUGGUGGGGUAAUGGCCUACCAAGCCGACGAUCCAUAGCUGGUUUGAGAGGAUGAUCAGCCACACUGGGACUGGGACACGGCCCAGACUCCUACGGGAGGCAGCAGUGGGGAAUCUUAGACAAUGGGGGCGACCCUGAUCGAGCCAUGCCGCGUGAGUGAUGAAGGCCUUAGGGUUGUAAAGCUCUUUCAGCUGGGAAGAUAAUGACGGUACCAGCAGAAGAAGCCCCGGCUAACUCCGUG
Molecule: ribosomal RNA, 433 nt
Filed under: uncultured bacterium
Lineage: Bacteria
Description: partial 16S ribosomal RNA
Rfam family: Bacterial small subunit ribosomal RNA
Source: RNAcentral